RNAcentral lists this ribosomal RNA (465 nucleotides) under uncultured bacterium. Its description in RNAcentral is "partial 16S ribosomal RNA". It matches the Rfam family "Bacterial small subunit ribosomal RNA", at positions 28 to 507 of the family's 1533-position model. The record is from RNAcentral.
GACGAACGCUGGCGGCGUGCUUAACACAUGCAAGUCGAACGGAAAGGCCCUGCUUGCAGGGUACUCGAGUGGCGAACGGGUGAGUAACACGUGGGUGAUCUGCCCUGCACUUCGGGAUAAGCCUGGGAAACUGGGUCUAAUACCGGAUAGGAGCCAUUUUUAGUGUGAUGGUUGGAAAGUUUUUUCGGUGUAGGAUGAGCUCGCGGCCUAUCAGCUUGUUGGUGGGGUAAUGGCCUACCAAGGCGGCGACGGGUAGCCGGCCUGAGAGGGUGGACGGCCACAUUGGGACUGAGAUACGGCCCCGACUCCUACGGGGGGCAGCAGUUGGGAAUAUUGCACAAUGGGCGCAAGCCUGAUGCAGCGACGCCGCGUGGGGGAUGACGGCCUUCGGGUUGUAAACUCCUUUCGCUAGGGACGAAGCUUUUUGUGACGGUACCUAGAUAAGAAGCACCGGCUAACUACGUG